Molecule: transfer RNA, 84 nt
Filed under: Nitrospirota bacterium
Lineage: Bacteria; Pseudomonadati; Nitrospirota
Description: Nitrospirae bacterium (sediment metagenome) tRNA-Leu
Rfam family: tRNA
About the family: Transfer RNA (tRNA) molecules are approximately 80 nucleotides in length. Their secondary structure includes four short double-helical elements and three loops (D, anti-codon, and T loops). Further hydrogen bonds mediate the characteristic L-shaped molecular structure. tRNAs have two regions of fundamental functional importance: the anti-codon, which is responsible for specific mRNA codon recognition, and the 3' end, to which the tRNAs corresponding amino acid is attached (by aminoacyl-tRNA synthetases). tRNAs cope with the degeneracy of the genetic code in two manners: having more than one tRNA (with a specific anti-codon) for a particular amino acid; and 'wobble' base-pairing, i.e. permitting non-standard base-pairing at the 3rd anti-codon position.
Source: RNAcentral
GCCGGAGUGGCGGAAUUGGUAGACGCAAGGGACUUAAAAUCCCUCGGGUUCACGCUCGUGCCGGUUCGAGUCCGGCCUCCGGCA